This 458-nucleotide ribosomal RNA is filed under the name uncultured bacterium. RNAcentral describes it as "partial 16S ribosomal RNA". It matches the Rfam family "Bacterial small subunit ribosomal RNA", at positions 338 to 795 of the family's 1533-position model. The record is from RNAcentral.
CCUACGGGAUGCUGCAGUGAGGAAUAUUGGUCAAUGGGCGAGAGCCUGAACCAGCCAAGUCGCGUGAGGGAGUACUGCCCUAUGGGUUGUAAACCUCUUUUGUCGGGGAGCAAAAGCCGGACGUGUCCGGCUGUGAGAGUACCCGAAGAAAAAGCAUCGGCUAACUCCGUGCCAGCAGCCGCGGUAAUACGGGGGAUGCGAGCGUUAUCCGGAUUUAUUGGGUUUAAAGGGUGCGCAGGCGGAUUUUUAAGUCAGCGGUAAAAUCGUGGGGCUCAACCCCAUCCAGCCGUUGAAACUGGGGAUCUAGAGUGUGCGAGAGGUAUGCGGAAUGCGUGGUGUAGCGGUGAAAUGCAUAGAUAUCACGCAGAACCCCGAUUGCGAAGGCAGCAUACCGGUGCACAACUGACGCUCAGGCACGAAAGCGUGGGUAUCGAACAGGAUUAGAUACCCGAGUAGUC